UACGUAGGGGGCAAGCGUUGUCCGGAUUUAUUGGGCGUAAAGAGCGUGUAGGCGGCCUGAAAGGUCAGCUGUGAAAACUCGAGGCUCAACCUCGAGACGUCGGUUGAAACCAUCUGGCUAGAGUCCGGAAGAGGAGUGUGGAAUUCCCGGUGUAGCGGUGAAAUGCGAAGAUAUCGGGAAGAACACCCGUGGCGAAGGCAGCACUCUAGGACGGUACUGACGCUGAGACGCGAAAGCGUGGGGAGCGAACAGG
RNAcentral lists this ribosomal RNA (253 nucleotides) under uncultured bacterium. RNAcentral's name for it is "partial 16S ribosomal RNA". It matches the Rfam family "Bacterial small subunit ribosomal RNA", at positions 524 to 776 of the family's 1533-position model. The record is from RNAcentral.